GGGUUGUAAACCCCUUUUCUCUGGGAAGAAGCUCUGACGGUACCUGAUGAAUCAGCCUCGGCUAACUCCGUGCCAGCAGCCGCGGUAAUACGGAGGAGGCAAGCGUUAUCCGGAAUUAUUGGGCGUAAAGCGUCCGUAGGUGGCUAUACGAGUCUGUUGUUAAAGAGUGGAGCUUAACUCCAUAUGGGCGAUUGAAACUGUAUAGCUAGAGCGUGGUAGGGGUAAGGGGAAUUCCCAGUGUAGCGGUGAAAUGCGUAGAUAUUGGGAAGAACACCGGUGGCGAAAGCGC
This 289-nucleotide ribosomal RNA is filed under the name Halomicronema sp. K1. Its description in RNAcentral is "partial 16S ribosomal RNA". It matches the Rfam family "Bacterial small subunit ribosomal RNA", at positions 420 to 724 of the family's 1533-position model. Lineage: Bacteria; Bacillati; Cyanobacteriota; Cyanophyceae; Nodosilineales; Nodosilineaceae. The record is from RNAcentral.